GAUGAACGCUGGCGGCGUGCCUAACACAUGCAAGUCGAACGAAGCACCUGAACUCGAUUUCUUCGGAAAGAAGGUUCUUGUGACUGAGUGGCGGACGGGUGAGUAACGCGUGGGUAACCUGCCUCAUACAAGGGGAUAACAGUUAGAAAUGGCUGCUAAUACCGUAUAAGACCACAGCACCGCAUGGUGCGGUGGUAAAAACUCCGGUGGUAUGAGAUGGACCCGCGUCUGAUUAGCU
This 238-nucleotide ribosomal RNA is filed under the name uncultured bacterium. RNAcentral describes it as "partial 16S ribosomal RNA". It matches the Rfam family "Bacterial small subunit ribosomal RNA", at positions 28 to 246 of the family's 1533-position model. The record is from RNAcentral.